This is a ribosomal RNA of Microcebus murinus (gray mouse lemur), 120 nucleotides long. The record is from Ensembl. NCBI's taxonomy places the organism in Eukaryota, Metazoa, Chordata, Mammalia, Primates, Cheirogaleidae.
GUCUACAGCCAUACCACCCCUGAGUGUGCCUCAUCUUGGCUGAUCUUGGAAGCUUAGCAGGGUCGGGCCUGGUCAGUACUUGGAUGGGAGACUCCCUGGGAAUAUUGGGUACAGCGGGCU